Molecule: long non-coding RNA, 6296 nt
Organism: Vespa mandarinia (Asian giant hornet)
Lineage: Eukaryota; Metazoa; Arthropoda; Insecta; Hymenoptera; Vespidae
Source: RefSeq, a predicted model, not a curated record
UGGCGUGGCAGGAACGUCGAAAGCUAGCAACGUAUCCUCCCCUCCAUUUCUCUCUUACUCUUAUUCUCUCUCUCUCUCUCUCUCUCUUUCUCGCUCUUUCGUUCAGUCUAUCUCUAUCUCAUUCUCCCCGCCACUACUCGCUUUAGACUACGUUAAAAUGUCGCGAUCCAGAGCUCUCGCGAACGACUUGACGAGAGAAAUCCCCUCUCUUGCUCACUAAACAGUCACAACUCGAUUUAUCGGAGCGCGCGUCUUUCGGAAUAUCGACAAAAGCUUCUCCUUCUUGCCACUGUUCGGCAAUAUCGCUACUAUCGCAAAUGUGUACGCCAGAUAAAGCAGGGCGACGUUUCAUAAGAGACAAAAUAGAAACGACCGUCUGUUAACCUGUUUUCCUCCUUGUCUUUUCUUUCUCUUCUUUUAUUUUCGUUCUCCGUUCAUCACGUCGCCAUUGAAACAUCAGCAACAAACUUAACAGCUGCCCUUUUCCUCGUACCAUCCUCUUUUUUUCGAUACUUCCUUCCUUCGAACGGCGACUCCUCGCGGAAUUUCUCUCAAACAUUUCUUAAACCGUUCUCCUUUGACGAUAAUUCGACACGAUCAAAUACGCAACACUCCGUUCGGGACUUUCAUAAUCUGGACCAAUCCGUUUGCGAGAAUAUUGUUUGUGACGUACGCAAACAAACUAUUAUACCGAUUGGUAGAAAUUUCAGAACCAUUUAGAACUAGUUCAAGGUUUCUUUCGUUUACUUCUUGACAAGAAAAAAUUACAUAUCGAGAGAAAGAGAAAGGUAAUGGAAACGAGGAUCGCGACACUAUUUAUAAUUCAAGUAGCAUUUCGAAGAACGAGGCUUUCAUCGAAAGAAUUUACGUGUACGCAUUGUUGGCGCGUUUUAUUUGUAUAGAUAUAAUAAAAGAAGAAGGAGAGGAAGAAGAAAAAACAGACAAACAAACAAAAAUAUAUAAAUAAAUAAAUAAAAAAAAGUAAAAAAAAAAUCCGAAAGGAACAUUUCCGCGGCACCACAAAGAGAUUCACGCGUCCUGCGCGCGAGGAGGGCCACGGAGGAGAUGCGGACGAACAGCUGCUAUUUCACCUGUUCGAUAUAUUAUUUAAAUGCUUCACCUGCCGCGAUCUCGAGAUACCGCGAGAUAAGCGACCAGCAUUUCCUGCUUUCUUUAAGGAUGUCCCGCACGAUUCUUGGUAUCUCUCCUUAAAAGAAAACGAGAAAGAGAGGGAGAGAGAGAAAGAGAGAGAAGAGAGAAUCUUACGAAAUUCGUCUUGAGAAAGUUUCUUUUUUCUACAUUUUCUUUGCCAUUUAUUUUAUAUGUUAUAAUAUUUUAUUUACAGAAAGUAUAAAACCUAAACUUAUUAUUAUUAUUCACGAUAUAUGUACAUUUUCCUCAUUAUGAACGUAAAGAAAAUUAACACGAUUGUCCGUUCCAGCAAUAAUUGGACUCAUCUUUUGUACAUAUUCUACGAAUAGAUCUAUAUCCAACGAACCAACCUUAUGGUUUCUUCCGAAUUUUUUAAAAACUUGAAUAUCAUCUCCACCCUUAUAUAUAAAAGAUGGAACUACGAUUCUGUACCAUUCAUCCUCUAAAAGGUUCUCGUAUCUUGGUAUCUCGCAAGCACGACAUCUAUCAUAAAUAACAAAGUUACGUAUAAAUGUAUAAAUAUGAUAUGCAAGUAAUAAGAGAAAUAAUAUUUCAAUGUUUAUAUUCGUUGUAUAAAUAAUUACCUGACUUUGACGUCGACCAAUCUACUAGGUGCAUCUUUCGUCAUAUUAUAAAUAACUUUCAGCCCGGACCAAACCAUAAUUCUUUCUUUUUCUAAUAACUAAAAAUGCAUGAUUUGUUUUAUUGUUUAUGCUUAAUAAACAAUCCUUUAUACAAGAUUAAUUUUAAUUAGACUAAUAGUCUUCAAUAUAGCAUUUUAGUGUUCAUUAUUAUUGUUAUCAGUAAGCGAUUAUUACAAAUAAAUUCACAUGAAUUUAACGAUUAAUGUAUACUGAUAAUUUCUCUAUCAAAUAGCUCUGAUAACAUUCUGAGUUUUAAUACAUAUCCCAUAGAGAGUAUUAAUGUAUAAAUAUAGACAAAAUAUUACAUAUUUAAUAGAGCUCCCAGUUAUCUCGACAGUGUCCCAGGUAUUUUCAAAAGGUUGAACCAUCAGUAAAUCACCGUAGGUAAUAUUAACAGCGAAAUCUUCGAUAGAGGCACGAAUUCCACCUGUAUUGGUGCAAGAUAUAGCUGCAUAAGUCCAAUAAGUUUCAUUCUCGGCCAGAUCUACGAACUAAAAUCGAAAGAGAAAGUGAAAAAAAAUUCUUUUUUUUUUUCUCAUCAACUUCUUUCUGCGAGAUAAAAGAAUUUUGAUACAUGUAAAGGUAUAUAUCGAAAAUAUAUUUAAUAUAAAAAAAUUUUUACCGCAUCGAUCAUCGCAUCUGUUAUAAAGUUACCCAAGUUGCAUUGUUUUCCUUUACAUUUGGAAUCGAGGAAAACUUUAGUCUUGCCUACAUGUUUCCAUGCGAGUGCAUCGACAUCCUUUUGCCAAGGAACUAGAGCUUUCAAAAUAUCUGGAUCUAUAUGAAAAAUGAAUUUUUAUUUAUCAGACUUCCCUUUUCUUUUUUUUAAAUUUUUCCUUUCUCUCCGACUCACCUUCCUCGAUAGAAUAAUCCAAAAGAAUUGGAUUUCCUUCCCAGUCGACAACCUCUCCUUGAUCGUCAAACCAAACUGUCAAGUUGCCGAGAUAUCUAAAAAAUAAUUUAAUAGAAUAUUUAUCUUUCAGAUUCUUUAAUAGCAUAGGGGAAUGAAUAAAUUUUUUAUUUAAUUAAUAUUAAAAUGAUUUACUGAGUUAAUAUAAAAAAUAAUCAAUAGUGUUAAUUUCUCAUCAUAUGUUUCGUGAUAAGAUCGAUCGAUAUUUCAUUAGGAAAAUGAAUAUAGUGAUUACAUACUUGGUAAAAGCAGCUGCUUGUACAAUGAGCACUGUUCUCUUUGUAUUUUUUUGGGUUACUAUUACAGGAUAUUCAUCCUCGGGCGUAUCAAUGAAAGGCGGUGGUCCUAAUUAAAAUAAAUAUUUUAAUGUAAUUGAAAGUUUAUAUAGAAACAUAAUAAAAGCCUUUUUCUCGCUUUUUCGACAAACCAGAAUAUAAGAAAGUAUGCGAAUGUCCUCCAACAAUGACGUCAAGAAGAGGACAAUUGGCAGCCAUCACUCUAUCUAUAUUCAAGCCACAGUGACUUAAAGCAAUAAUGAUGUCCACUCCUUGGGCUUUAAGCUUCUCGGCUUCCUCAUUCACAGAGUCUACUUCGUCCAGAAACCUCAAUUUUUCGGUGUCUGCUAUAGUCUAAUAAAUCGUGGAUCCUUAGAUAUAUACAUAUAUACAUGCAUACAUAUAUAUAUAUAUAUAUAUAUAUAUAUAUAUUUCGAAUUAUUUUUCUUUUAUAAUUUAACAAAGAAUAUACCAACAUUCGUAGUUGAAAUAAUGACCCCGAUUACUCCGAUCUUUCUGCCUCCUCUCUCGAUGAUCGUACUAUUUUGAUAAAGACCCUGAAAGUAGAACAGAUUAUAGAAAGGAUAUAUGAAGAAAAAGAAAGAGAGAGAAAGAGUAUCGUGUAAAAAAUGAUCAUGCCACAAACUUGAAUAGUAGGCUCUUCUCUAUCGUCGAUAUUGGUCACCACAACCGGUGCUUUGACAGCCUUUAAAAAAGGUACAAGACCAGCGAUUUUAUUGUCGAACUCAUGAUUUCCAAUCGUCUACAAAUAAAAGAUAAUUAUAUUAUAGUUAGAUUGAAAUUUUCUUUCAGUAAGUGUUCGUGAAGUUUACCAUGGCAUCAUGAGGUAACAUAUUCAUAAAUGUAGCCGUCACAUUCCAUCGAUGAACGUUGUACCAUAAAGUACCUUGGUAAUGGUCGCCAGCAUUCAGAAAAAUAGCAUUUGGCCGUUCUUUCUUUAAUUGAUUGACAGCAGUAUAUACUCUAGAGAUUCCACCGACACAAUCUUUUUCUUGUCCCACAUGACAGGUACCAGAAGUUGGAUUGGUCUGUUGAAAUCUUACAAAAUGUUUUUUUCUUUUUCUUUUUUUUUUCUUUUCAAAUUCAGGCAUUCUCAUUGCUUUUUAAUACGUAUUAAAAAUUUAAAAAAAAAUUGUAAGAUAACUUCCGAAUGUACGAUCAUACGUAUCACGGAAAAUAACACAAGUUGAAUCAAUAUCUUAUCUAGUAUCGUCCUUGAAGAUUCCACUUCGGUUCUCCAAUUUAAUACGACACACUAUAUUGUUAUAUGAAGAUCUUGUGUUAUGAGUAAGGCUAACGUAUGUUACGUAAUUCUUAAUAUUAUUUUUAUGACGACAAAUUAAUUAUUUCUAUAUUCAUUCUCGAUUGGUUAUGUAAGAGAUAAAUGUCUAUAUAAAAUACACGAAAGUAAUCAACAAAUUUUUACGUAUAUAUGAAACAAGAAACAACCAAACAAACGAACAAGCACGAUCGUUCCGUAAUUAGACAGAUAAAUAUUUGUAUACAUUAUAUUAGUUCAUACCUCGCAUGGAAAUCAUUCAAAUGUAUAAUAGACAACUCGAAGAAAUCGGUUUGUCCAGGAUAGAUGAGUCCUCGACCGGUAAAACCCAAACAUGUUUGGGAGACAUAAGACAACACGGCUAUCAACAAUAAAGUAUACAUGUUGUGUACGUUCGAAAGUUGUAUAACUGUAAAACAAAUAGAGCAGUUUGCUUUAUAGGAGUUUACAAAUUGUACAAAGCCUACAAGUAAUGUCGCAACAAAAUUUUCAAGUUAUUUUAUAACUUAAAUAACUGAUUAGAUUAAGUGAAACAAUAAAAGGAAUUGAUUGUGGUGACUAAAUAUAACUAAACUCGUUACAAAUAUAAAUGACGAAAGUUGGAGGAAAAAAGUUGGAGGAAAGAAACAAAGAAGUUAUAAUCGGUAUGAUUCCAAUCAGAAGAAGGAAUAUUAUUGUUCGUAAGAAACUUAUGAGUUUCAACUAUCGAACGCGAUGCUUUGGGCACGAUUGACGAGAUUCAAGGUGAAAAAAAAAAUAAAUUCUUUCGAAUUUCUAAGGAAAUAAAAGAGGAGAAAACUUAAUGUUUUGUGGAGGAACUUAAACUGACUUGUACGUUUAUAUCCUUCAUAUAGAGAACAUGCCAGUCGUAAAUCACCUGUCAGCACCGAAUGUUCGUCGAGAACUGCUAACAACGAUCUGUCUUUGCAAUCCAUGACAAAGCAAGCGUAUCCAUUAUCACAAAUAUUCACUACAUAAAAUGCCUCGCAAUUAUCUAUAUGCUAUUAAAUUUAUCUCGAAAACAUUUCAAUCUUUAUACGUAUACGAUAAUGAUUAUUAUCUCUUUCUCACGUUCUUUUGUUGAAGAUUAUUUAUCGUGCAUUUGAAAAUUCUUUAAUAAUUUACAUAUCAUUUUAUUGGAAAAUAAAUUUUAUUUAACGAUCGAGAAUAAUUUCUUGAAGACCACGUGAACGUAUUAAUUGCUUCUAUCGUUGACCGAUUCUCUCAUUUCCUUUUCAAGCCAGCGUCAAUGUAGAUGUCGAAACCAGAAAUUUACGCGUAGACGUUGAGCUGCCAAUCAAGUUUCUACUGUGAUCGACGCGUUCAGUGAACGGAUUCAUAUUUAGAUACAUACGUUACAACAUUUUCAAAUAGUGAAACUGUGUGUUUGUUCUCUUCAUUUAUAAACAUUUAAUAUCUAGAAGAAGAGAAUAGAAAAAGAAGGAUUAAUAAAAACUAACGAUAUUGUGUAUUCCACACGCGAGUUUCAGGAUAGAUAUGGUCACGUGACUAUUUGAAUUCAUUAAACCAGUUUAAGAGAUUGGCAUUAAUAAUCCAGGAAUUUAUCACAUUACUACGCGCAUUAGAAAAUUCAUAAAAUUGAAAUGUACUAUCCGAAGUAUAUCAUUUGGUCACGAUCAAUAGAACUGCUUGUUACCUAUUCUUUUUUCUUUGUUAUCAGUCUAUUGAGAAACGAUUUGUUACAUAAUCGUGUUAGUGUCGACGAGAAAAUUUUAUGUGUAUUUUCAUCGUAGUACCAACGAGAAUACGAAGAUCUAAAGAAGAUUAACGAUAAGGAACUACAAGUUUCUUUUUGUUCUUUUUUACCGUAAUGAAAACAAGAUCGCUAUAGAAACGGAUCGAAGGAAUGGAAAAGAGAUAUUGGAGAGUCAAGGAUAAUAAAAUAUAAUGAGAUCCAUCAAGCUAUAUUACACAAGCGACUAAUUUAAGUUGAAAUAUUUCCUCGCAAUAACUUGAAGGAAAUAUAUCCGAAGGUGAAAACGAUUUAUUAUGAC